Long non-coding RNA from Cydia splendana, 432 nucleotides. RefSeq lists it as uncharacterized. Lineage: Eukaryota; Metazoa; Arthropoda; Insecta; Lepidoptera; Tortricidae. The record is from RefSeq and is a predicted model, not a curated record. The transcript is spliced from 2 exons.
CCGGGGACAAUAGAAACACGUCAUGAUUGAAACAAGUCAAAUUUCUCGAAAACUAUAAUACCUACGCGUCUGACGCAACACUCCGCUAAACAAGUUUUUCGCAGUAAAAAGUAAGAACUUGCGCUCUCGUAUAUUUUCUUAUAACUUCGUUUACUCUUGUAUUUUGUACUAAUCUAAUUAUUUUGGUGUUCGAGUUAGGAAUAAACGAAUGUUUUUAAUGGCCAUUGAUCAGUGUUCGAGUCUUUUUUAUAUAUAAUAUUUGACCUUGAAGUGAAAAACGAGGUGUGGGGACGAUAGAAACAACUUGCUUGUGGACGAUUGAAACGUUUCAAUCGUCCUCGCGUUUUAAUCGUCCCCAAAAGUAGCCGACUUCAUAAUAUAAGAAGGUUCUGUAUUCGAUGCACAUGUUUGUUUUAUUGAUGUUCACUAUUA